GAUGAACGCUAGCGGCAGGCUUAACACAUGCAAGUCGAGGGGUAUAGUUCUUCGGAACUUGAGACCGGCGCACGGGUGCGUAACGCGUAUGCAAUCUACCUUUUACAGAGGGAUAGCCCAGAGAAAUUUGGAUUAAUACCUCAUAGUAUUAUGAAAUGGCAUCAUUUUAUAAUUAAAGUCACAACGGUAAAAGAUGAGCAUGCGUCCCAUUAGCUAGUUGGUAAGGUAACGGCUUACCAAGGCUACGAUGGGUAGGGGUCCUGAGAGGGAGAUCCCCCACACUGGUACUGAGACACGGACCAGACUCCUACGGGAGGCAGCAGUGAGGAAUAUUGGACAAUGGGCGCAAGCCUGAUCCAGCCAUGCCGCGUGCAGGAUGACGGUCCUAUGGAUUGU
Molecule: ribosomal RNA, 396 nt
Filed under: uncultured bacterium
Lineage: Bacteria
Description: bacterial SSU rRNA
Rfam family: Bacterial small subunit ribosomal RNA
Source: RNAcentral